UUUGCUGUGAUGAGCCGUAAACAUAAGAAGGCCAACCGAUCAAUUGGUACUUCAGUGAAAUUCCUUUUUACGCUUGGCUUCUGAGCUCA
This is a non-coding RNA of Brachypodium distachyon (stiff brome), 89 nucleotides long. The record is from Rfam. NCBI's taxonomy places the organism in Eukaryota, Viridiplantae, Streptophyta, Magnoliopsida, Poales, Poaceae.